CUCAAGGAGCGGCAGCCAGAAGAUGUGUCAAAGCACCUUCUUCAGCAUCUCAGGGAAGGGCCACAGUGAGCGUGUUUUGCAACUCAUUGUUAAAUUGAGAAUAAAAAAUCCCCAGCUGCCUUCCA
Molecule: long non-coding RNA, 125 nt
Organism: Melospiza melodia melodia
Lineage: Eukaryota; Metazoa; Chordata; Aves; Passeriformes; Passerellidae
Exons: 2
Source: RefSeq, a predicted model, not a curated record